This 37695-nucleotide long non-coding RNA is filed under the name Prunus persica (peach). The record is from RNAcentral. Lineage: Eukaryota; Viridiplantae; Streptophyta; Magnoliopsida; Rosales; Rosaceae.
CUGCCAUUAUAAUCAUAGUUGGAGCAUUGUUUUUACCCGAUACACCAAACUCCUUGGUCGAGCGUGGCAAGCAUGAGGAAGCCAAAGCUCAGCUUCUUAAGCUCAGAGGAGUUCCUAAUGUUGAUGAGGAGUUUAAUGAUCUAGUUGCGGCCAGUGAAGUAUCCAAGUUGGUAAAACACCCUUGGGUUACCUUGUUGAGCAGGAAAUAUAGACCCCAGCUUGUAUUUGCAAUCGGCAUCCCCGCCUUCCAGCAACUCACCGGCAUGAACGUGAUCACGUUUUAUGCUCCUGUCUUGUUCAAAACAAUGGGAUUUGGAAGCAGUGCUUCUCUCAUGUCAGCUGUCAUCACCAAUCUGGUUAAUGCUUUAGCUACAUUUGUCUCAAUUCUCACUGUUGAUAAGGUUGGAAGGAGGAAGCUUUUCUUACAGGGUGGUUGCCAAAUGCUCCUCAUGCAGGUAUGUUAAAGAAUACAAGUUCCUUAUUUAUUUCCCUCUUUGUUUAUUUUCUUCUAUUUUUAUGGUUUACUUCCUUCAAUUUCAUACCCAAAAAAAUCCCAAUUUAAUGUUUUUUUAAUUUUGUUGGCAUUUUUAGGUGGCUGUUGGAAUUGCUAUGGCUGUUAAAUUUGGGGUCAGCGGCAACCCUGGGAAGUUGACACUGGGGUUUGCUGUUCCCUUGGUGCUCUUGAUCUGUGUUUACGUUGCUGGAUUUGCCUGGUCAUGGGGACCUCUAGGAUGGUUGGUGCCCAGUGAAAUUUUCCCACUUGAAGUAAGGUCUGCUGCUCAGGCUAUCAAUGUCUCCGUCAACAUGAUCUUCACCUUUGCCAUAGCCCAAGUCUUCACAGCCAUGCUCUGCCACAUGAAGUUUGGCUUGUUCUUCUUCUUCUCAGUCUGCGUGGUGGUGAUGAGCAUUUUUAUCUACAAAUUGUUGCCCGAAACGAAAGGAGUUCCAAUUGAAGAAAUGCACACUGUGUGGGAGAACCAUCCAUUUUGGAGGAAAUAUGUGGUUAAAGAUGAAGCCAUUGCCAUGGGCAAAGGCAAGGGCGGACAGAGUGCCUAAAGUUUGUUUUUGGUUUAGAUUUUCUUUAUGUUUUAUACAUUUUUGUAAACUUUUUAGGUUUAAUUUCGUUCUGGAAAAUUUUGUUGGAUAUUGGAUUUCUUUUUUGAUGUGUCUGAUUGGAUUAAGCUUAUUUAUUUUAAAAUUGAUUUAUCUUCAAAUUGUCAAUUGUGCCCUAGAUGCCCAAACUUAUAUAAGGGUUAUGCAUGUGUAUCCGAAGGCCCAAUUUAUUUCAACCACUUGAAUGAUAGAUUCAAAUCUUCAUAUUUUGAUAAUCAUGAAUAUUAUUAGAUGUGUUAACUUUAUCUCUAACUAAUGUUAUCCCAAUUGAUCAUAUGUGAUAAUAUUUCAUUGGUUCAUAUAUAUCUAGUGGUUUUGAAACUCAUUAUUAUAAUACGAAAUUUUAAUUUAGGGGCAAGAUCACUCAAAUAAAACUCCUCUGUAAGUCUUUUAUCAAACCCAUAAGGAUGAAAAACUACCCAUUAAAAAAAAAACGUUACAAUCAUUUAAGUGUUUAAAAACAUUUAAUUGUGCACCUAUUAAAACCGAAGUCAGAAAAUAAAUCUGUCGUGAUGGUCAAAUCAAUGAGGGCGGAAUGCAUGUUGGCCUUGAAUUAUUUAUUUGGCAUCAAUCGAUCAAGUUCACCUCUCUUGGACUUGAAAAGAGUUGGGCGGUUACACUUUUGAGGUAGUAACCUAUGUCGUUGGCCAUUAUUUGUUUGAGGAUUUAUGGAUGGUCUCUAGGCUCACGUUGAUUGUUAUUGUUUCUUUUUAUUUUCGGUUAAAAUUCAACUCAUCGUAUAAUUAAUACGUAUAACAAAUAAAAGAUUAUCAUAUUAUAUGCUACAUCAGUUAGCUUGUUCAAUAACUUAGUUAUAUAGGCUUGUCAUGGCAGAGCUAGAUGUAGGGUUAAAGUUGCCAUGACUCGUAUACCCAUCUAGCUCUGCCACUAGGAUAGUUCUGCGUCCCCUUAUUUGGGGCUGAAUCUUGUGUUUAUAUCUAAAAAAUUAUAUCCUUUUAACUUCCAUUUAACUAUCCUAAAUUCUACAUAUAAACUCUACAUAUUCAUCCUCAAUUCAUGAUGCUUAUAUAGACCUUGAACUCUAAAGAUAGAGGUGGGGUUGUUGGGGUCGAUGAUGGAUGAAGAAUGUGAAGUUGGGGUUGGUGAUGGAUGAAGAAUCCUAAAUGACACUUUUAACCCCUCAUUUUGAUGGACAAAUUGAUAGAAUUGGAUGGUAGGACUCAAUUAGAACAAUUUGUCUAGUUAGUGGACCUAAUUGGCACACACAAAAAAGUUCCAAGACCCAAUUGAAACUCGAGGUAAAAUUCAGAGACGUUUACAGUUAAAAACCCUUACAAUAAAGUUCCUUACCCUAAACGACCCCCUUAAGGUAAGGAACAGGGCCAAGUAAAUAUAGAAUUACUAGUUAGGUACAUGACAUGAAUUGCUACCGAUAUUGAUCAAACUAGCUUAUUACCAUACCCAGUAAUUAGGUGUGUACUCUUUAACACUGGACUAUCUAGUUUAUGUACUCGAUCCUAUGGGUACCAUGAAAUAUCAUAUUGCCAGAGUGUUCCGUAUUAUUCCACACUUUGAGAUUAUACACUAUACACUAUAUGCUAUAAUUCUAUUCAGCUCAAUUGGUUCCUUGUAAGUUGUACCCAAUAAUAUUGAUCAGAUAUGGUUAUCAAGCCGGAGUUUUGCUAAAUACAAAUUAUGUAUCCAGUCCAUGGAGAUAAUGCCUAUAUUAAAUAUUUUUAAUAUGUAAUAAUAUAUAAUUUACCGAAAGAACACAUAUCUUGAUUGUAGAUUAUUAAUGCUAUAAUCUCAUUAAAAAUAUUGUUAGCUAAUUAUGCUACUUGGUUGAUCCAGAUGUAUCUGCCAACUGGAACACUUAAGAGGAGCUCCGGUGUCAAUCACUUCCAUUCCUCUCUUUAGACCAUCUGUAGCACUCAUAGCUACAGCUCUAACUCGAUUAUUUCCUAAUAAUUGCUGUACUUCACAAGGUAUUUGAGGGUGAAGACAUGACAUGAGGACAUAGGGCAUUGGACCCUUAGGUAGCAAUAAGUGUGCAUAACUAAAAGUAGCCAAUUAACAAGUAACUAAUAUUAUUGCACAUUCAGUCAUUGAUCAACGGACCAAUAGCUUCAUUUCCUACUCCACACACCACUAAUCGCUUUAUGUACUCCAGCAGUGAUGUACAGAAUUGCGAGCUCACUCCUGUAUGAAACUUGAACCAUUCAAAUUCCAUAAAGCAUGCAUCACUGCUACGGUACCUCUGGCAUUGAAGACAAAAGAAUUGAAUAAGAGAAAUUUUCAAUUACCAUAAACAUAAAAUAUUAUUCCCUCAAAUUUAACAGAAGCACAAUCUGCAGCCCAUACAACAGUCAAAAAGCCAAAUGCACCCAAACCAACUUUCCAGCCAGACUUAAGAGGGAAACAAUGAUGCCUUCCAUGAAAUAACUCUGAGGUUUGCAACAUUCAUUUAUCAGUUUUGUAGCCAUCUAUUUUCUCACUCACAAUUCACAUGAAAACCUCCGAGCAACAUUGUUCUUCAAGUUUCAGUUGUAAAGAAAAACAGGAACAUGACUAAAGCCUAACAUCUCCCAUUUCCCUACAAAACCAUAUAAACACACAACGAGAACAGGGGAACCAAGACUGAUAGGAAUCUAUCUUAAUCACGGCACCAGUUUUCAGGAGUGGCCCUUCUAGACUUAACCUCUUAUUCCUUCAGCUCUACCAGCCUAUGGACGACUUCUUCAGAAAAACCUCACAAUGACAUAAAUGGAGGUAAUUAUGGAAGCCUGACAAAUUUAAUCAGGUUACUUCAGUUUCUGAUCUGAUGCCAUUUACUCGGUACCAAGAACCACCUCCAGGAAAGACAAAGGGAAAAAAACACUGGCACUAAGCUCGUUGCAACUAUUCUUAUCUCUCAAAACACCGUACACCAUUACUAUUCAUUUCAAGUUGAAUACUAUUGACAAGAUGCAUUUGUUCUCCAUUAUUAUUACAGUCAAGGUAAUUAAUUCUAGUCUUAACAGUGAUUCUAACCAUAUAACUUGUACAUAAGGGUAGCCAAGAGGUGGCCUGGAGGUCCUUAGCAGAUACAUAUCUCUCCCCUUUCAAAUUUUGCAGAACUAUUUGUAUCAGACGUCCUUGGGGCAGAUAUUAAUUUCCACUGCUCCUUCUCACCUUGUUUUCAAACUACAUGCUUUGAUGCGGGUAGAUGAAAAGGGGAGCUCCAGUGUUGUAGAAAUUAUUAGGCGAGGGUCUAUGUUUCCUAAAGUUCUUUGUGCCUUCAGUCAUGAAAUUAGCAAGUCACAGAGUUUUGAAUUCAAAGGCAAAGGAGCUACUAUCACAUUGGAAUUUGAUUUGUACUUGCAAAGUGUGAUUUGUCUCUCUCUCAAACCAUUAACUCAAGAAACCAACAACACUUUGCAACAGUGACUUGUACAACAAAGAUUCAUAAUACUCGGAAUAAUGCUAAUAGAACCCAUUAAACACCAAAAAUUCAGAUUUCAGAAUGCAACAUGGCUCAGCAUCCAGUAGGGUUAUCAAAAUUACCUAAGCAAUAAAGAUAUAUACCCACCCAUAUGGAACAAGAGAAAAACUUGCUGGAAAUGUAAAUUUCAAAAGGACCCAAAAAUGCGAAUCUUCUUCCUUUUUAUAAAAUCUUACAGAAGAAAGAUAAAGGAAGAAUGAAAAAUCAUCAUUUGGGACCAGAGAAUGAAAUCCAUUAACUCAAUCGAACCUGUGAGCACCAAUGUGACUAAUAAAUUCAAGUUGAGGACUUUGCCUCUUGGAUGGUUCAAUGCAACCCAAAACAACAGCAACACAGCAAACAAAGAAGAAGAACAACAAAAGAAGAUAAAUAAAUUUGUGCACUAAAUGAGAAAACCAAAAGCAGUUACCUUGAGGAUUGGAGACAGCUUUCCAAUGAGAUGCUGUGAUGAUCUGUUGAUUUGUAACUAUAGCACAUCAUCAAGUGACCAGUUAAUAUGCUUGAAUUAUGCAUGCUCUAAUCACAAGUGAUUUGUCAAUCACCAAGUGACUAAUGGAAUGAGCUAUAAUGCUAAUAAAUAAAUAAAUUCAAUUAGUUGUCAUAAUUCUGCCAUUAUUUCUCCAGAUCACUUGUAACUGCUACCAAUUGCAAAUAAGGAAACAAACUCCCAAAAAUUAUAGAGAGAUUGUUUUUGAGAAAAAAUCAUUUGUUGAAAUUUCAAGGUCUCACCCUCUUAUUGGAAAUGGAGAUGCAAAUUCACCCACGAAGGAAGUAAAAGACUCAUCGUGACACAAUCUUAGUUCAAAAUUCAGAUUUAAGCACAUGCACAAAACCAGGAUGGAAAAAUAACCAUUUUGUAUGAUCGCCGUAACGAAGGCAUAAAGUAAAUAGGCAACGUCAAUUCAUAAACUAAGCAAAAGUAAUACCACAAUAAAAUACUAAACAAUCAAAAUUUCUGCCAGACAGACUCAACACGGACAGCCAUACUUGCUCGGAUGUAUUGAAUCCCGCUGCAAAGAUUGUUUACCGUCUGUAGACCACUAUGCUGAAUUACUCUGUUGCUUUCUUACUUCUCUUAGCCGUCUUCAGCUUUGCUUCUCCGCUCUUCAACUUCUCAUGUUCACUCUUCCUCUUCUCCUUCUUUCCAACAGACUCUUCGCCCUUGACUGGCAAAUCAUCUGCUUUCUUCUUUGUACCAUCUUUUUUCUUCCCUUUCGAAGACACCCCAUCUUUCUUAUGCUUGAUAGUCGCAUCAUCUUCAUCUACCAUCUUAGCCAACUUUUUGAACCGUUUCUCAAUAGGAAUAUCAUCGUCUCCAUCUUUCACCUUAGUCGACUUUUUCAACUGUUUCUUAUUGUUAAACUCACCGAGAACCUUUUCCCCAUUCAAUUCAGCAUCAUCUUUCACCUUAGCUGACUUCUUCAACCUUUUGUCACCCUUAGACUCACCAACAACCUUUUCCUUCUUCCUCUUCUUCUUCCCCAAUUCACCACUACCCGGUUCUUCAUUCUCACUUUGCUUACCUUCUCCAAUAACCCCAUCACCAACCAAUUCAUCAUCGUCAAGCACCUCACCAGCAUUGCUAUCCAUAUACCUCACUUCAUGAAUUCUACCCUUCUUCUUACUCACUUUCUCACUCUUCAAACCCUUACUCUCAGACUUGACAACCUCUUUCACUGCCUCCUUACCGUCCUCAUCACUCUUAGCUCCCUCAAUUUUCAAUGUCAAAUCCGGCACGGCCUGGUAAACCGGCAAUGCAAGCGACUCCAGAAACUUCAAGUGAAAUGACCUCACAUCCCUCCACUUCUUAGGCACAAUCUCUACAAUCCCAUUAAUCGCCGCAACCACAUUCUCCACAAUCUCAUCAACGCUCAUGGACACCUUCGCUACCCUCACCACGCUGCACGUCCCGGUACUCAUGAACAACAAGGCUGACUCACAUGCUCUGUCAACCUGCUCCUUCCAAUUCUUGUGCUCCAAGUCUACAGGCACCGGAAUCUUCUUCUUCUUAAAAAAUUGCUUCCCCAAAUACUUCGGAAGCAAAGGCACAAUCCGCCUAUCAACCAAAAACAUAUCAUAAGAAUGCAACAGCUUUCUCUUGGCUUCAAAGGGCACGUAAGCAGACUUGAGCUUCGAAAGCUUCAAAAUUUUCGAGAUGGGUAUAUUCUCGGCCUUGAUUUUCUUCUGGAUGAAAUCCUUGGUGAGAUUGGACUUGGGCCCAUCGUCGUAUAUCAAGCAGAGCUCGGAAAGCUGGGAAUGGAGGGGAUUUGGGAGAGGGACUUUGUAGGCGUUUACGCGGGCCUUUGGUGGGAUUUUCUUGAGGGUGAGAACGAGAUAGGCGAACUCGUCGGAUUCUAAGAGAUCGGGUUUCUCGGUCUGCAACUUGGAGUUUCGCCAUUUGAGGAGGGAAUUUACAGCUUUCUGCACCGUCGACGACCCCACGGAAGCCAUGGAAAUAGGCUUAGAGGUCCACAAGCAAUGCCCUCCAACUGCUCGCUGGUUUGCCUGAGAGGAAGAAGAUGCAGCGCAGCUCACCUGAGGACGAAGAAGAAGCUCACGCUACUUGUGCUCCUUCAGUCUUAAUUUUCCUUUCAAACUCUGUCAAGAAGACAGACAGAGAGAAGAAAGAAAGAGAGAGGGAGAGAAGAAUGGUGGGAGGCGGCUGAAACAGAAGAACGGUGCGUUGAGCGGGAGAGAGGUAGGGUUAUUAUUCGGGCUUGAACCUAAUUAAAUGCGAAGUUGGGCUUUAGACUUGGGGGUAAAGUUGGGUUUUAGCUUCAACUUAUUAUUCAUGCAUGAUUAGACAUCAUUCACGAAUGAAUAUAUUCGGGCCAUUAAUCGAAUGGACUGUCCCUGGUGUUAUCAAAUACCAUAUUGAGUUAACACAAUUUGUCAGCCAUUAUGAAUGAGGUUAAUAAUCUAACCUGGUGAUAAUAACAAUUAAUCUACCCAUAAUGUUAGGAAUAAGUAAGCAGUCGAAAUAUAUUUUACUUGUCCUAUAUCAAUCCAAUCCAACGGGUAUUAAUUACCAUAACAGUUUGGAUCCAUAUCCCUCGUUACUGCCUACGUAUGAUAUCCGUAAUUGCUAUUAUGUUACUUAUUAAUAGCUUUAUAUAUUAUUUGAGAAUGUUAACUAAUAUAUCCAAAAUAAAGAUAUAUAUAUAUAUAUAUGUAUAUCUAUCUGUCCAUCUAUUUUACAUUUAUUCAUAUGAUGGUAGGGUAAAAUUUCUCAUUGUCUCGAAAACUAUUGACUGGUCAACAAGUCAACUUUCUUUUGUGUGCGAGCGUGCCACUGCUAGUAAUGAAAAUCCUAGUAGGCUUCUUAAAAAUAGAUAACUUGCGCCCCAAGUUACUGAUUUCUAAACAAGCGAUUGUGAAUUUGGGUGAGGAAUAUCUCCCAAGUAAGUUCUUUUAUUGCCUCAAACUGGUGAGGACUUUACAAUUUUUCACAGUACAAAUAGUUCUGGCCAGAAUAAAUGAUAAGAAAGUGAACUGUUUUAGGCAAAACUGCCUUUUACAAAGCUUAAAAGGGAAAGACCAACUCUAAAAAGACAAAAAGAGGGUUGAACUUCCAUUUCUGCCUGGAUAGAUGCUUCUGAUCCGGCCUGGACUAGGUAUUCUUGUACUGGACUAGACUAUCAACACCUUCAACAAUCAAGUUUUAGCUGUAAAUCGAUACCAACGUUCGAGUGUGGCAGAGAUUUAAUCUAUUUCAAGCCUUGGAAGGCUUUUUGAACGGGCAGAAUUGGAACCUCUUCAGUUUGGAAAGGGCAGAAGUGGCUGGAUUUGAUGAUUACUGAGCUGAAACUGCACUGUAAUACUUGUUUUGCUUGAUCAUGGCUCUCCAUAAAUUUAUUGAUGUUUUCAUAUUUGUGAAACCCGAACUCUGCUUGAUUUGGCUUAUGCUGAACCAAAUUUGUAACGAGAGAAAUCUCACUUUGAAUGACUAUUUCUCUGAAACUGAAUUGAAGUUAGAGAUUCUGGAUUGUAGUUGACUAGUUUCUUGUGGCUCAAUGAGCUGUUGGUUGCUUCAGUGUUUUGAAGGGUUUUUGGGAUUAAGUGAUCAUUUUGAGUUUUUGUUUUUGAUUGAUUUUGUGGCUAUUUUUUGAUCUGUUCACAUCCUUUCAUAUUUAUAGGAAAUGCUGGAGUGAGAUUUUUAAUCUUUAAAAUGGGUGGCAGAUUUUCUUAAAAACAAGAUCUUUUUAUUUUUAAAUGUCAAAAAGGGAAGUUAUCUAUUAUGGCAAAUAAACCAUCAACAGUCAGUUCUAAGACAAUCACUUCCCUACUUUUCUUGAAGGAAAACCAACUCUCCUUGUUCUCUGUUUAUUCCCUGUAAAGAGAAAAACUUAAUUUGCCAUGAUGGUUAGUUUGCUUUUCCUGUUUUGAACAACUCCCUUGCUUCCUACUUAUCUCUUGAAAUCAUAGUCUGCUUAUCUCUUGGAAAUACUACCUGCUUUGGUGCAGAGUUCUUUUAUAUAUAUAAAAAAGGAUUUUGAUCUUCUUCCUUUGGCUGCAAAAAUGGAGAAGACCUCCUGUAAGACAUGCCUUCAUUAACUCUCUGUCAGCUCCUCUGUGAUAGUUGAGAUUUUUGACUUUUCAAAGUUAGGUAGCCACGUGGGUUUUCUUGAGAAUAGGGUUUCCAGAAAAAAUACGUUGACUUGUUCCUGAGCUUUUUGAGAGAAAUGGUGAAAUUUUUAGAAGUUGGGCCCUAAUUCAAUUCUUUCUUCUAGAUUGUUAACGAUCUGCUUGGUGGUCAAUUUUGCCAUUUAUUUGGCAAUUUUACUAACUUGCUUUGUGUUUUUAUUUUUCUACCACUUCAUAAAAAAAAAACAUGGACAUCUGGCGUGGAUUGUGCUUUUCUUUUGGAGUCAAAGCUCGAUCUUCUGUUUUCCUGUUCCUGGGCUUUUUGUGAGAAAUGGGCUGGUGUGUGAAUUUUUUUAGGCCCAAACAAUGCCCCCUUAAGUCUGAAUCGUUUUUAAAUGGUUUCAGACUUAAUGAUUGGCCAAUCAAUGAUGCGCGCCAUUUCCUGCCGUUGCACUUGCGCACGUCUACCUAUUCAAUUUAGGCUUUGUGGGGAAAUGGGUUCUAACGGCUAAUUAAAUCUGAACGAAACACCUUUCUUCCCACUUUCCCCACGAUCUUCUUGCUUCAGUUUAUAAAAAUUACUAAACUUCAUCACUGUUCAUAAGAAACCGUAGCUAUGUUUCAGCUUCCAUCCCUUUUGCAACCCUCUAUUCUUUCGAUUUCGUUCCUUCAAAUCCUCCUCUGUUUCUUGUUUGAAUUUCGAAGAUGUCUUCCCCAAAAACUCGUGCCAAAGGUUCUUCCUCCUCUCGGUCCCCUACUUAUUUUACUGGAGACGGAGUUGAUCAGCAUGCAAUUGAAGUUCAUAGCAAGCUCCAUCCUUUUAUCGAGAAAAAUUUGGAUGAAAACGUUCUCCACUUUUUCGAGAACACACUCGUUCUGGGUCCUCAUUAGUUUGGCGUAGUGCCAAAGGAGAUGGUCAAUUUGUUUAAGAAGGAUGCUGAAGCUCCCAUUUGCCUCCAAAGCUCUUCUGCCCUGGCUUCUCACACUUCGGUUAGUAAGAACUUGAGCCGCUCUUAUCCCUCCAGUGAAGUAAGGAAUAGUGCAGUGAAGUGGUCGGAUUGGAUUGAUAGACUUAUUCCGAGGUAUGAAGAUCACUAGAAAAGGGCUGGGAUCUACGACUCUAUUUUUCUGUCCAAGCAAUCUGUGAAUAGAGACGAGAAUUUGCUGGCUGCAGCUCUCUGCUUAUGGAAUUCUGCCAGCAACACAUUUGAUUUUCGUGUGGGCCCUAUGACUCCAACCCUGCUGGAUAUGGCUCAGAUCUUUGGGUUUAGGCCUCAUGGAAAACCUGUCGAUGCUGUUGGUGACUAUCACAGAAGGAAGAAUCUGGAGAAAUUGGCCAAGCCUUUCACUAUCUCACAUGCCAUCAUCAAUCAGAACUGCUCGUUCUCCAACUACAAUAGCCUUGUAUUCUUGCAAGUAUUUUAUGUGAUUUUAACCCUAUUUGCGCAUGUAACAUCCCACAUCGACUAACGGGAGAGGGAGUGAUGUGCCUUAUAUGUACAUGCCCACUUUCAUCUAGCACGAGGCCUUUUGGGAGCUCACUGGCUUUGGAGUCAUGGGAACUCCGAAGUUAAGCGAGUUUGAGCUAGAGCAAUUCUAAGAUGGGUGACCCAUUGGGAAGUUGCUUGUGAGUUCUCAGAAACAAAAUCGUGAGGGUAUAAGGGACCCAAAAGCGGACAAUAUCGUGCUACGACGGAGCCGAUCCUGGGAUAUGACAAUUUGGUAUCAGAGUCACUUUAUCGUGUGCUGCGAGUGUGCCGACGAGGACGUCAGGUCCCUAAGGGGGGUGGAUUGAAACAUCCCACAUCGACCAACAUAGAGGGAAUGAUGUGCUUUAUAUGUACAUGCCUACCUCUAUCUAGCACAAGGCCUUUUGAGAGUAACUGGCUUUGGAGUCAUGGGAACUCUGAAGUUAUGCGAGUUGGGGCUAGAGCAAUCCCAGGAUGGGUGACCCACUGGGAAGUUGCUUGUGAGUUCCUAGAAAUAAAACUGUGAGCAAUCCCAGGAUGGGUGACCCACUGGGAAGUUGCUUGUGAGUUCCUAGAAACAAAACUGUGAGGGCGGAGAGGGGGGCUCAAAUCGGACAAUAUCGUGCUACGACGGAGCCGAUUCUGGGAUGUGACAGCGCAGGUACUAAAAAUCAUAUUAAGAAUACAAGGCUAUUGUAGUAUAGAUGCCCAUGCAAGGUCGUUCUCCUCAAGGACUAUUUAGCAAUUUAUGUAAAAAUAAUUUCCAAUUAACUAACUAAAAUUAAAAGUUGAGAAAAAUAUUUAUGAAAUUGUUUGAUACUAAAAACAAAUUUUAAACAAAAAAAAAAAAUACGAUUGAAGAAAAAAGUUUUAAAUACCAAUAUAUAAAAGCAUUAGGGUUUCACCAUCACCUCACAAUCCUAUGAAUUUUUACCAAUUACUUAUGAUUUGCACAUGCCACUUUGAAGGUUAGGUUUUCCUAAUUUAUAUCAAACUAGAAAGGCGCGCGUACUAUCAAAUUCCCCUAUGCCUAUGGUAAGGGGCGGACCAGAGCAAGCACUAGGAGAAGUUGGACAUCCAUAUAAAAUAAAAAAAUAUAUCUCUUACUUUGCUAUAGCCUUAUCUGGGAAAGGUGGAAGGUUUGGGGGGGAAAUACACUCUUUCUAGACUACUUCUUAAAAGCAUGAUAGAAUGUAUAUCCAACAUGCAACCUGUCCGGACGUUCGGAUCAAAUCUAAAUAUGAAAGGCUCAUUAUGUUUUGUGAAAACCCUUUGAAAAAACCAUACAAUCUUUAAGACGUGGUGUUCAUCUUAAGUGAAAUUACAAUUAUUAAUCAAAAGAAGCCAGCAUCAACUUGAGGGAACCUUCCAACCAAAAUUGCAUCAAAUUACUUUUCUAAAGAACCUAACGCUGAUCAGGCAUUAGGACAAUUAGAUAGUUUAAAACAGUAAUUAACAAUUCAAAGUAUGCAUGCAAUCAAUCAUAAGCAAUUAAAUAAAAAUUACAUAUUCAUGCUAAGGUUUAAGGCUUCACCCUAGCAAAAGAAAAUUAGUUACGCAUAUUCAUAACUAAAAUCAAAGAAAUGAAUAAGAAUGAAAACACCUUAAAGUCGCAAAAACUCCAAAACCCUAGCAAUUGCUCUCCACAAUGUCCCUUUCAAAAACCAAAAAGAAGUCCUAAAAUUGCUGUGAGAAAGAACUUAAAUACCUCCUAAAACCGGCUGCCCAAUCCCCAUAAGGAAACUAAGUUAAAAUAAAAUAAAACUAGGAUAUAAAGUCCAAAUUGGAUUAGGAGAAUUUGCUCACAAUCUGCCCAGCCACGUUUUGGCCACGAAUCUCCUCCAAAUCAGGGCCAAGAUAGGUUGUUUUAAAGAUAAAAAUAUUCUGAACACUUCUCCAUAAGGCCACGAACCCAUCCGAUGUCAUUUUGGGCUCCAAAAAGCAAUAAAAGCCCAAAAUGUCACUAUUCCAGUACCGCGCACUGCUCCUUUAUUUUAUUGCCAGAAAAUAACCGCUUGGUAGAAAAAUAUGAAAUUUUGAUACGAUCAAGCUAAGUGACUCACGAACGUACUCCUACUGGAAUUACUCCAAAAUUCGUCCAUUUGAUUAUGUUUUCCUCAAGAGGAAGUCGAAAGUCCUAUAAUGAAAAUAUAAUUCAAAGUAUCAAAAUUCUUCCAAAAUAUUAACCAAAACAUACUAAGAAUAUGGUUAAAUAUUUAAUAUAAAAUCUACUCAUCAUCGUAUAUUAUUACAAUGAUAUAGAAUCCAUGAGUAAAUCGGCCGGGAUGCUUACCUGGGGAUAUCCAGUACAUAUCACGCCAUUAAUCAGAGUUAAACCAAGGAAUAUAAUCUCGGGUAUGAUAUCAAUUGCGUGGAUAAAAUAAUAAGCAGUAGUGCAUGUACCUAUUUACCCAAUAAGCAACUAUACACAUAAUAACCUAUUGCUUAUUAUUCAGUUAGGUAUCCUAUGUCAGCUACAAUAAUAAAUUAUAAUGAAGUAACCCAUGCUAUAUGAUUGUUACUAAUUAGUACUCUAUUAUCCUUGAACCAGAAUGGACUUGCUGGCUAUAAUAAACCAAUGCUCUGGGGUAUAUAUACUCCUCCAUGAUCUGCUCCCUCCACUUUGAAGUAGGGGGAACAUUUACUUUGUUUUUGUAAAAGAGGCAAUUGUUCUGCCAAGAAAAAUAUGGUUUAGUAGGAGCUCGGGCUUGCAAAGCCUGAAUAAUGUUCAUAGCUUUUGCGUCGUUGAGGCAAUCAGCUUUUAUUUGUGAUACACUAUCAAAAAUGGGUGUGGAUAACCCCAUGAUGGCCAACAAUUCCGGUUUGCGAGACAAGGUAUAUGGCCUUGCAUUUUGGGUACCAGAACGAUAAUCAAUCUCAUAAUCAUACCCGAACAAUUUCAGUAACCACUUUUCUUGUGUUGGAGAGGUGAUUCGCUGCUCCAAAAAAUACUUGAUGGUCUGAUGAUCCAUUAAGAUCUUGAAAUGGCGGCCGAUGAGGUAUGGUCUCCAAUGUUGAACUGCAAAUACAACUGACAUCAUCUCCUUGUCAUACACAUAUAGGCUCUUGUGCUUAUCUGAGAUAGCCUUACUCACAUAAGCGAUUGGAUGUUUGUCUUGGGAAAGAAUGGCACCAAUUCCCACAUUAGAUGCAUCACACUCAACCACGAAUAACUUGGAAAAAUUCGGCAGGGCUAGCACAUGCGUGGUCAUGAGAGAAGCCUUGAGGUUCAGAAAUGCUUACUCGGCUUCUGUCGUCCAGGCAAAAUUAUCUUUUUGCAGCAUAUAAGUAAGUGGCCUGGCUAUCGGGCCAAAACCUUGUACAAACUUCCUGUAGUAUCCGGCUAGUCCCAAAAAUACUCUCAACCUCUUAAUGAUAGUGGGUUUAGGCCAUUCCUCGAUACACUGCACUUUGAUUGGAUCCACUGCCACUCCAGCUGCAAAUAUGACAUGUCCCAAAUAUGCCACAUAGUUUUGAACAAAUGAACAUUUUGAGAACUUCACCUUUAGCUGAUGAACUCUCAGUACCUCGAAAACAUGAGCCAAGUGUAUAUUAUGCUCAGAUAAAGUUAUGCUAUAAACUAAUAUAUCAUCAAAGAAAACCAAGACAUAUUUGCGUAAACAAAAAAAAAAAAAAAAAAACAACCUAUUGUAUUUAGAUAUUCUGCAAAAACUGAAUAUCGAGAUAUGGUUGUAGCUACUUGUGAGCUCCAAUGGUUACAGUAUAUUUUACAAGAUUUUUAAGGUGCUACACUCCUUUCCCAGUAUACUCUAUUGUGACAACAAAGUUGUAUUAUCUGGUUUAUAACGAAAAAACCAACCACAUUGAAAUUGAUUGUCUUGUUGUUCGUGAGAAAAUCCAAGAUGGUUUGUUACAAACCGCGUUUCUGCCUUCCAAGGAUCAAAUUAAAGUACAUCUUUAUUAAAGCAUUGGAGAAAGAAGGUUUUUUACAAUUACGGUCUAAGUUGAACGUUUUAGAAAUUAGAAACAAAGCCAUGAUACAAGGAAGACUUUUGUCAAGAUUGAUUGGAGACUAAUUAUCGGGUUUACCUUGUAUAAGGAAAGGAGCUUAUUUACUUUGAUUACACUAUUGUCUCUUCUUUCCAAUUAUGUAUGUAAUUUACCUACGUUGAUUCUGGAGAUUCUUUCCUCAAUGUAAAUUCCUUAGAUUUACGAUCUUGUCUUUUCCUGACUACUAUAUAAUUGUAUACUUCUUGUGCAAAGAUUAAUAUACAUAAAUCAUUUUAUCAUAUUUUCUUAUAAGAGAGAGAGAGAGAGAGAGAGAGAGAGAGAGAGAGAGCAAUUGAGUGGGGGGAAGGUUUGGGCAAGUGCAGUGAUGAGCAGAAAUCGCGAGGUGCUAAUCAGGGUUGGUCCUACGUUUAGGCUAACCUGGGCUAUAGUCUAGGUAACUUGAUUUUUUAUAGUCCAAAGUUAAUAGGUAGCCUAGGUGACUAACUCCACAAGUAUGAUAGAAAGAAAAAUAUAAACUAACCCUAUACACACAUGACACAUACCCCUUUUCAGAAAACACUCAUUUCAUUCCCUCAGAGAAAAUCCUUUACCUUGGUGUGAAUAACCUUUCAUUUUUAUUUUCCGAGUUGGCUUGAAUGGCUAGAUGGACUCAAAUGUUUCAGUUUUUUUCUUCUUCUUUUGUAGCAUUGCAGCAAAUGCAUGCAUCAGGGUUUGUACCUUCUAUAGAAUCUUUUGUUUCAUCAUCUGAAUAUAUAUUAAUAUUUAAAGAGUAUAGCCGCGCGGCAAUAAUUUUUAAUUAUUAAUAUAUUUAAAACGUAUAGCGACGCGGCUAUACUGCACAACAUGGUUUUUUUUAUUUUUUAUUUUUUUUAUAAAUUAAAUAAUAUAUUAGCCUUGUUCGAUUACUUUAAUUAGUAAUUAUUCUUUAGUGAAUAAUUAGCAUUUAAAUAUUACUAAUUUUAUAAAUUACUUAAUAAAUUGUAAUAAAUUAUUUUAAAUUAUUUUGUGGACUUUGUUAUUUUUUAUUUAUACAAAAUUAGUUUGUUUGCAAUUAAGUAAUAUCUUAGCCUUAUUUAAUUAUAUUAUUUAUUAUUUAUGUUUUUAUUCUUCUUUAUUUAAUAAAUAAUUAGUAUUCAAGUAUUUUAAUUAAUUUCAUAAAUUAAUAUGGGCUAUAGCCUAGGUGACUUGAUUUUUUAUAGCCCAAAUUUAUUAGGCAACUUAGGUGACUUGAUUUUUUACACCCCACACGGACACACACACCUCCAUCCCAACAUCAAAAAAUCUUUUUUUUUUUUUCUUUCUUUAGUUAACUAACCCCACAAGUCUGAUAGAAAGAAAAAUAUUAACUAACCUCACAUAUGUGACACAUACCCCCUUUUAGAAAACACACAUUUCAUUCCCUUGGAGAAAAUCCUUUACCUUCGCUUGAACACUUUCUUUUUAUUUUUAUUUUAAGUUGGCUUGAAUGACUAGAUGGGCUAAACUGAUUCAAUUUUUUUCUUCUUCUCUUUGUAAUGGACAAAUGCUUUCAAUUUUUUUUUCCUGUUAGAAGAAGUUUAUUGUGUAAUUGCUAUAAUUGACCUUAAAAUUCGUACUUUAAUUUUUCUAUACAUGCUUAUAUGUGAGUGCAUGCCCAGUUGCUUGUUUUUGUCAAUAACUCGGUGUUAAAUUAAUCAAGCAGGAUCUCAUUUUCAUUCAUGUUAUUUGGGAAAGUUUUGGAGUAAAGAAUAAAUAAAUUUAAACUUUUAUGGUGACUAAAGUAAUGAAGUUAAGUUUAUUGGUUGCAGUAGAAGAAAAGAGAAAUAUAAUCGCGACACGAGAACCACUAAAAAUAAGAAUGGUGAUUUGAAAUUAUUAAUACAUUAUUUCUAUGAUCUCUGUAAUUGGUACUUAGGUAAGGAGGGUAAACUAAAACCCUCAAUGAAUAGAAACAGACAAGCGGAAGACAAAUACCAAGGAUUCCAAACCAAUAUGAGAAUUAAAAAAACCUUAGCUACAAAGCUUAUGAAUAAUCAAACCAAGCACAUUCAUACGCAACACUCAUACCCCUGCAAAACUAGAAGAAUACUAUGUGACAGCCUAUGCACUCAAUCUAGGCAUCCCAUGUGCUAGCAACAACUAGAGUGAUAGGUAUGUGGACAUUCAUCAACAUUUCAGAUAUAAUGCAUAUAUACAAUAUGACUAGACAUAUAAACCAGAUAAUCACACCAGAAAUGUUUAACCAGAAACCCACCAUUGGGAAAAACUAGGGGUCAUCGAUAUGACCAGGCAAUUCACUAACAAGAAGAAAUAGUUACAGAGAUCAAUAGAUACAAAUCAAGUUUCCUAGUUCUAUAAAGGAGCCGAUAUACCUCUCCAAGCUGUCUUCUUCUUCUCAGCAACGUUGCUUGCAACUAGUCUAUCAUGACAAUGACAGCUUCAUCCUUUAGCUCAGACAUCUCAUGGCACCAACAACACAACACUACUCAAUCAAAUGCUGUGAUGAUAAUGUAGAUUUAAGAAAGGAUCAAUUUUCUCAAGAAAUCAUUCUUGGAGAAAAUCAAUAUGAAAAUCUGAACUAUAGAUCUAAAUGAUGUGUGUGAUUUAGAACUUCUAGAUGCAGAUUUAGUGAGCAAGAGCAGAUUUUAUGAAAAACUGAUUUUUCCUAAAAUCUCAUAAAUGCAACCUCAUAGCCCUCAUAAUGAAAAAGAUUAUGCCUGCAAACUUUCCAAAAAGUGCUAGUGAAUGUUUUCUAAGAGGUGACAGAUGAUUAUCAUAAAUGCCUCCUUUAUACUAAGGAGAAAGAAAGGCUGCCCUAGGACAAGACCUAUAGAUGUCAACAUUAUAAUGGCUAUCAAAUAAGAUAAAGAGAAUAUUUCUGGACAGAGGUGUAAAGGCUAGCAAAAAAAAGGUAAGAUUGUACCAUCAUUAGGACAGUUCAUUCAAAAUGGAACAGUAGCAUAGAAUGAAAUGCAAUGCAUGAUUUUACCUUUGUUGAGUAAUGCCAAAAGCUGAUUGUUGAGGAGCAGGCACACGCUUUGUGAGAGGAUCAGACAAUCGCUUUAUGUGGGGACCACUUUAAGCUAACAACUUUAGUCUAAUCCUAAUCCUCUUUAAGCAACUUAUUACAAGAAUGUUAGAGAGCUCUUAAUAGACUAAUAUUUUUCUUUAACAUUGAAUAAUGAUAUGGUUACCUUUUGAGAAAUGGAAGCAUGUCAAUUUAUGACACUGCAAGUUCCAUGGCAAAAUUCAUAGAUGAUGGCAUGAAAUCCUCUAAACUGAACUUAUUAUUCACUAACCAUCUACGCAUCUAGACUCCACCUGAUGAAAUUCCUUGGCUAAUGUCCUUUGCAAACAUUCAAAAUAUGAAAAUCCCCUAAAACUGAACUAAUUCUUUUACUCUCUACGUUGAUGAGCUAGGCGGUUGGUGACUCUAUCUAGCUGUUUUGGUAAGGCGAUGGGAAGGUGGAGCGGUGAUGGGGUUUAAAAAAAAAAAAAAAUUUUUUUUUUAAAAUUUUAAAAUAUAAUCAUAUUUUAAAAUAUGGCUUUUAAAUUUUUUAUCAUUUAAAUAUUUUUAAAAAAGGGCCCCACAUGUGCCACACUUAAUAGAUUUUCAAACGGUUAAGUUAAAUCAAUGUUGGGGGGGGGGGGGGGGGGGGGGGACCUCAUGUUAAAAACCCCCAAAGGAAUUUUAGUUCUCUUUGCGAGUGUUCACGUAGAAAACAGAAUAUGCGUAUAAGUAGCGGAUUUCUAGAGGUGAUCCUCAGCCAAUUUGAACUAGGCUUCCUCUUUGACCAUGGCUUUCAACAUUGCCACCAUUGCUAAAUGAAAAGUCUAUAUUACCCCCGACAGAUAAAUAACAAAUGAAAAAAUUUAACAAAAUGACUCAAUUAAUAUUACCCCCGACACAUAUAUAAUUUAUCAAUAAUUGAAUAUGUGAUAUCCCAUUCCUAAAUUAAUUAUUAAUUCUUAAAUUAUUCAAGUAACAGACAAUUUCACCUUGAGAGUUUUUUAAUGGGUUUAAAGUUGACUUUUUGUUUGGUAAAGAAUUUGGGGAUUCGGGUAAAACUGUUGCAUAGAACGCAUCGAUACGAGUUCGUAGACACGUAGUGGGCUCAAAUCGGAGUUUUAAGGAAGAAGUUACGAUAAACGGAAGUGCAGUGGCACAACUGUAAAUAUUUCAAAGUUAGAUUUUAAAAACCAAUCAGAUCUUCUCUCUCUCUCUCUCUCUCUCUCUCUCUCUCUCUCUCUCUCUCUCUCUCUCCCCCGUGACCUCACUCUCCAGGUAUGCUUUCUCAUCAUUUCAACGUGAUUUAGCUGAUGGUUGGGUUGGUUAGGAUUGAUUUUGAAGUUCAAUUUAUGAUAUAAGUUUUGAUCGAUUUUUUGCUCGAAUUUCCGGUAAGCUACGACCACUUUUUGGCUGUGCCCCAAGAACAAAAGUUGCUCCCCUAGUUGUCAUGAUCACGUAGGUAUAGGUAUUGUCCGGGUGUUUUGAGAAUUUUUCAGUCGCCGAAAUUUUCUCAAGACACCUACUCACUGCUGGCACGUAGGCCAAGAUUGGGUGGCCCAUUUGGUCCUAAAAUGAUCCCUAUGUCGUCUCGAGCACGACGAUAUGCUCAGAUUUACAUAUUAGGCGAUAUCCGGGUUCGAUAUAGUCGGACAGUCGGAUCUCAACAAAACUCAUAGGAUAUAUUAAUUGGAUUUUUAUGAACCUAUAGGAACUUUUGGAUUAUUAAUCGGAGGUCGUGGACCCCACGGGGGACUGAGUUGACCAAUAUAAGAAUUUAAUUGUAUAUUUAAUCUCGGGUCUUUUCAGACCAUUCCAACUGUCAAAACUGUUGAAAAUGGGUCUAGGAACUUUCUUAAGUUACGCACACUCACUUUAAGGCUGGGGAUCAGGAAGGAUCCUCGAAGGGUCAACGAGCUCGGACACACGGUGAGUGGACGUUUGUUUUAUAAAUGAAUUUUAUGCAGCAAAAGUUUUAUUAAUUGAUCAUGAACGAAUUGUUUAUGAUUUUUGCUUUCCAAGCAUACAGUUUGAAUUCAAAUGCUUUUAUAAAAUUGUGUUAUGAUUAAAUGUGAAUGGCUUGGAAGGUAGAAAAUGAAUUGGUAACAGGAUUUAUGGAUUGAGUGAGAAACAGUAUUCUGAUUUUCCAGGAAAGGUUUUUUGUUUUUUUGUUUUUUUAUUUUUUUAUUUUUUUAAAAACCACCAUAGGUACCCAAAAUAUUGCCUUCGAAUAAACUGUUGCCUUCGGAUAUAAUGAUGUCCAUGGACAUACUAGUUGCCUUCGGUUGAGUCAGGGGCGUUUGACAAUUGCCCCACAAGUCCAAGAGAUACCCGAACAGUGAGGAGCGAGGAAUGCAGCUUAGGUUGACCAAGUGUCUCCUGAGUUCUGCGAGGAAUGCAGCUCGGGUUAACUUUGUAUUUCCGAGUUCUAAAAGGAGAUGUCGCUUAUGCGACACUUGAAAUUGACGGUAUAAUGUGGAAAAUAAAUAGAAAAAUCAUGGAAUUGACGGAUUUAUGAAGGGUACACCUAGGUGGAAAUGAAUUAUUAUUUUUCAAUGCUUUCAAAUGAUUUUGAUGAAUUGAUUGAAUGUAUGAAUGGUUAUGUGAAUAUAAAUAUGCAUGCUUGAUUUUUGUACGAAUAUAGAGCAUGGAUUAAAUGAAUUUUCAAAUGGUUUUAACAGUGGGGUUAGUAUGUUGAUAUUAUAUUUUGCAAAACUUUCUUUUGUCCACUCAUGCUGUUAAUAUUUUGCACCCCUAUGCAGUAAUCGAGUACCGGAACACCACCACCGGGCAUUCAUCACCCAUCACUCAUCCACUUCCAUUAUGUAGGAUAUUCUAUUGUAACCGUACUAUUUGUUGUAAAUUAAAUUAAUUAGUAGGCUCUGAUAUUGCCCUAUGAUUUCUAUAAGGUCUGAGGCCACACAGAUUUGAUGUUGGAUUGUGUGUGCUCUAACAUUGUGCAUACUAAACGCUUGCGGAUAUAAGAAUUGCAUGUUGUACAUGUGUAAAUUAUUGGGAAACGAGCAAUUUACAGGCAGACUCUACAGAUUUUUCGGCAUAAGUCAAACCUCAAAGAAUUUUUUUGAGUUUUAGUUUAAGGGGGCAAUUUGGUCAAGUGUGCCUGGCACCUGACAGGUGUUGGAUACGCACAAGGUUCGACGCAGAUUCUAAAGUGGAAUUUGGGUCCUGUCUAGUGCCUGUUCCAGGAUUAAAAAGCUGGUUUGGCAAAACUUACAUACAAAACUCGACGGUACGAGUGAAUUUCAUUAAUAAACAUAAAAAGAUACACCUAGUCAGGGGAGACAUAAUAAGCUUUACCCUCAAAUACAUCUCUAUCCAUAAAUAAAAGUUCAACAAACACUACUACAAAAAAGCAAAAAGACGACGGUAAAUCACCGUCGUGUAUUCGAUUUUUCAAUGGUCGUGGAAUCCACCGUCAUCUUUUCCCUCAUAUACCACGACGCUAAAUCACCGUCGUUGUUAAAAUAUACAACGUCAUCAACAAAUACAAAACGACGUCUUUGUACUGCAAAAAGAUCUAAAAAAGCAAUCGAGGAUGAGAAUAGACGACCAACUCUCUAAAAAAACCGUCGUUAAAAAGGAAAAAUAUGACACAUAUUAAGAGAACAAGGCCGCAAGAUAGACAUACAACGACGGAAAUAAAAAAACGACGCCGUUAAAUAUCAUUUUCACGACAAUAAAAAAUUUGACGUCUUUAAAUACAUUAGAAGACGACGUUAUUGAUACCUACUACGUCGCAUAUAUAAAAACAGCCGUCGUAAAAUUAAUUUUCCACUUCGAUUUUUCGAUAAAAGAUGACGUGGAAAUAGUUGUCAGUGUCAUUAUUUACGACGUGUGUAUUUAUUGAGUAGACGUUGAAAAACGAAACAACGUCGGUUACAAAUAUAUGAGAGUCGUAUUACAAAAUUUAUACGUCAUAUUUUCAGAAACAAACAACGACGAUAAAUAUUAGACGUUGUUAAAUAAAACAACGUCGGAAAACAAUAAAAACAGACGUGUUUAGUCUGCUAAAGUUCUAGAAAAUAGUCGAGGAUGAGAAUAGACGACCAACUCAAACAAAUCACCGUCGUUAAAAAGGAAAAAUAUGACACAUGUUAAAAGAACAAGGCCGCAAGAUAUACAUACAACGACGACAACUAAAAUUUUACGCCGUUAAAUAUAAUUUACACGACAAGAAAAAAUAUGACGUCUUUAAAUACAUGAGAAGACGACGUUAUUGAAAUAUACUACGUCUCUUAUUUACAAACAACCGUCGUGAAAUAAAUUUUCCACUUCGAUUUUUCUAAAAAAGAUGACGUGGAAAUAGUUGUCAGUGUCAUUAUUUACGACGUAUGUAUUUAUACAGUUGACGUUGAAAUGCGAAACAACGUCGGUGGCAUUUAUAUAGUCGACGUUGUAUUUAUAUCUAUCAUCAUUACUCACGACGCACUUAAUAAUAUAGACGACGUUGAACUUCUAAACAACGUCGGUUCCAAAUAAAUGAGAGCCGUAUUACAGAACAUAUAGACGGCGUUGAUUAUGAUGAGAGCCGUAUUACAAAUAACGUCGUUUAAUUGUUAUUAGACGGCGGUUAUAAUGAAUUUCCGUCGGAAUUCAUUUCGUUCCUCUUCGUUUAUAAAAGAACUUGCGACGUGGAAAAUGUAUGAUGACGUCGUAUUUUUUAACGUUCAGAUUAUAUAUCUCGUUUUUUAGACGUCGGUAUUAUGGGAUUGGAGUCGUGUUAUUUUGAAUUACAUGGCGGUUCUUAAUCCUUCCCCGACGUGAUAUCCUGAAUAAUUGCUUCACAAUUGCGUCGUGGUUCUUCAUUGUUACGUUGCUUUAAGACGUCGGUAAAUAUGCUGAAUAACUGGUUCACAAUAACGUCGUGUUUUAUUUGAACGUAGAAAGUGAAGAAAUCACAUUACAAUAUAUUACAAAAUUAAUGUCAUACACUGCCAAUUACAUAAGCAUCAUUCAAUCCAUAUAUCUUCACACCCAUCUCGAAUAUUUUGACCGCCUAACUCACCCACCAGUUCAUCAAAUGUGUCAACAUUUGGCAUCCCUCUAGUAAAUGGCUCACACUCAAUUAUCACAUCACCUAAGACUUCAUCACCAAUAACAUCAUUAUAUUCUCUAUUAGGCAUUGAUAACACUACCGACCAACCACGAUGCAUCGGGUCGUCAACAAAAAAUAUUUGUUUGACUUGAGAAGCCAAAACAAAUUGGUCAUUCCUAUGUCCAAUUUUACUCAAAUCUACAAGGGUAAAUCCAAGUUCGUCGACUACAAGACCAGAACUAUCUAUCCAAUCACACCUAAAGACUGGGAUUGUAAACUUUUGGUAGUCAAGGUCCCAAAUUUCUUGAAUGACACCAUAGAAACCCAUAUUUGAGAGAAUUGGGUUUUUAUCCUUGGCACUAGCAACUUGCAUGGUAUGUGCAAGUAAAUAAACUCCACUAUUUUGAGUUGUCCGCACAUCAUCUUGUGCCUUGAUAUUGAAUUUAAUACCUUUAAUAAGAUAGCUCCUAUAUAAUGGCACUGACAUGUUUGGACCAGCUGCUAGCCACCUUAAAUUUUCUGAUACGCCAUGAUUGUCUUCCUCAAGUUCACUUUGAACCUGCAAAUUAAUCAUAUCUUAAUUCAAUCUAAUAUAUAAAUAAGAAGAAAAUUAAAAGAGAAAUAUGUUAUUCAACAAUAUAUACCUUGAAGCGUAGCCAUUGAAUGAAAGUGCUAUUGUGCUUAUCCUGCAGCCACUUUGUUCUUUUUCUAAAUUUUGGAUAAGCAGUCUUGAUGUGAAUCAUAUGUUGCCUACAUGACACGAAAAAUUCAAGCAUUAUGGUCCUAAAUAUAGAAGAUAAACAUAAGAAAUAAUUUAAAAUGGAAACUUAAAGAAUAAAGCUCAUACGUACUCGAUAUAAGGUAGGACUUCCUCCGUAUUCUCCAAGACAUAUAGAUGUGCUUGAUUCAACAGGUCCUGAUCAACUACGCUCACUGUGCAACCUGAUAAUGGCUUUGAAAGUCCCAUCUUUUGGCUUGAAGGCACUCCAACUGUACUAACAUCAGAUAAAUGCUGAGUACAACACUCUACCGCUUCUUCAGCUAUAUACCGCUCAGCAAUGCAACCUUCGGGACGAGUACGAUUCUGAACAUACCCCUUCAGCACUUUCAUAUAUCUUUCAAACGGAUACAUCCACCUAAAAUAUACUGGCCCACAUAGACGAACUUCUCUGACAAGAUGUACUACUAGAUGAACCAUGAUAUCAAAGAAUGAAGGGGGAAAGUACUUCUCAAGCAAACACAGAGUAACUACUACAUCUUCUUCCAACUUAUCUAGCUUGGAAACAUCAACAGUCUUUGCACAUAUAGCAUUGAAGAAGAAGCACAAACGAGUUAUUGCAUACCUUGCAGGCUUCUCCAAAACAGAACGAAUUGCCACAGGGAGCAAUUGUUGCAUUAAGGUAUGACAAUCAUGUGAUUUAAGGCCAAGAAGUCUUGAAUCUUGUAAAGAUACAAGAUUUUUAAUAUUUGAAGAAUAACCUUCAGGGACCUUCAUACCAUAGAAAGAAUUGCAAACCUCUCUCUUCUCUGCUCUUGACAAAUUCCAAGGCCCAGGAGGCAAACGAGUACGUCUUUCUCCAUACUCGGGUUGCAAAUCAGUUUUGACCCCCAUGUUCAAUAAAUCUAAUCGAGCAGCAAUCCCAUCUUUAUUUUUUCCAGGGAUCUCCAGCAAUGUACCAAUGAUACUAUCGCAAACAUUCUUCUCAAUGUGCAUAACAUCUAGGGCAUGCCUUACAGGAAGGUAUUUCCAAUACUCGAGAUCAAAGAAUAUUGAUUUCUUCUUCCAACAAACUCUGUCACCAUUUUCAACCAUAUGCAGCACUUCUUCUCCGGUUAAUGGCUCGGGAGGUAUGCCAUAUUCAGGUUUCCCAUUAAAAGCUGCACGUUGCCUCCUAUAUGGAUGAUUGAUUGGUAACCAUUUUCUAUGCCCAAUGUAACAAAUUUUGUGGCCAUUUUUCAACCUGUGACUAGGUGUAUCAUCGCCGCAUAUUGGACAAGCUUUAUAUCCUUUAACAACACAACCAGAUAAGUUUCCAUAGGCGGGGAAAUCAUUAAUUGUCCACAUUAAUGCAGCUCUGAGUGUAAAGUAUUCUCCAUUAUGUGCAUCAUACACUCCUCUAAUCCCAACCCACAAGGAUUUUAAAUCAUCAAUCAAAGGCUCCAAGUAGACGUCUAUAUCAUUUCCGGGUUGUUUAGGACCGGAAAUCAAUAAGGUUAACAUCAUGAACUUUCGUUUCAUGCACAGCCAUGGAGGGAGAUUAUAUGUAACUAAGAUAACCGGCCAACAACUAUAUCUGCUACUUAGAGAACUGUGGGGAUUGAAUCCAUCAGAUGAAAGAGCCAAUCUCAAGUUUCUCGGCUCAUUACCAAACUCAGGCCAUUUAUCAUCAAGAAGUUUCCAAGACGGGGAAUCCGCCGGAUGAGACAUCUAACCGUCAAUUGAUUUUCUAGCAGCAUGCCACCAAGUCAAACUCCUAGCUGUCUCAUGUGAUUGAAACAUCCUUUUAAACCUUGGAAUUGGGGGAAAAUACCACACCACCUUCGCUGGCACACCCUCUUUCAAGAUUGAAUCUUUGCCUUCCUUCCACCUUGAGAUACCACAAGUAGGACAAUUAGUUGAAUCCUCAUACUCCUUCCUAUACAAGAUGCAAUCAUUGGGGCAUGCGUGCAUUUUCUCAUAACUCAGCCCCAAUGCACACAAAGUCUUUUUAGCCUCAUACAUGGAGGUUGGUAUUGUAUUUCCUUCUGGAAGCAAAUCGCCUUGAAGUAUCAAUAAUUCUGUAAAACAGACAUCACUCAUCCCAUGUUUUGCCUUCAAAUUAUACAACUUCACUAAUGCCGAUAACUUCGUGUACUUUCUACAACCAGGGUACACUGGUUGAUCUCCAUCCCCAAUCACAUUGGCAAACUCAUACGGAUCCGAACCAAAAUCACCAAAAUCAUUAUCAUCCAUAUCAAUUUCUUCAGACACAAAACUGUACCUACUAUGGCCAUCAUCUUCUUCAACAUUUCUACUAGCAUUAGUAGUUGCUUCCCAAGGUUCUCCGUGAAAUGUCCAAUUCUUAUAGCUUUGGUCAAUUCCAUUAAAGUAUAAGUGAUCCCUUAUAAUUCCAACCCCAAGCAACUUCAAAUUAACACAUUUAACACAUGGACAACGGAUAUGUGUUGUAGUUAGAAGAUUUUCUACAGCAAAGUUCAAAAAUGCUUCCACCCCAAAUUCAUAUGCCUUCGAUCUUCUAUCCGAGUGCAUCCAUGACUUAUCCAUCUCCGACACUAUAACCUAUUAUCUAUAAUAAAGUGAAAAUACAGGCAAUGACCAUCACUAUAGCAGAUUAUACAAUGAUCUAAUCGCAAGUAAUACACAACAGAGACGACAGGUUUUAAACAAAAACAGACGUAUUUGGCAUAUAUAGACGACGGAUUUUCAACAGACGUCGUCUAUUAUAAGUAAUACAAACGACGGUUUAUGAAAAAACCGUCGUGUAUAAGUAAUACAACGACGGUAGUUUAAAAACACCGUCGUGUAAUCGUCGUCGUAUGCCUUAAAAUUCGUCGUGUCUCAGUUUAUUUUCAAGAACACAAAACCCAUUAAGAACACAACAUAUAUAUGAAACCAAGCAAGAAACCAACAUAUACAUGAAACCAAGCAUGAAAACAAUAAAUCCAUUCCCAAUUCAACAUAACAUAGGGUGAUUAAAAGAUACGACAAAAUUAAAUCCAUUCCCAAUUCAACAUAACAGAUAAUGUAAUCCAUGAACCCAUUAAACAGAAAAUCCAUGAACCCAUACCUAUAAGCACAUUAUUAACAGAUCGCAAAGCAUACACAUAAAACCCUUUAACAAAACAACCUAAUAUAACUCAAUGAAUUUACAAGGGGAAGAUAGGGUUUGUACUUACAGGUUGGACGAGCUCACAGAUUCGACGGAGCCUGGAGAGUGCAACUUUUAAUUAGAGCAGAAGUGAGAGAGCAAAAUGUUAUGUCGCGCGAAAUCUGAAAAUUUUAGGUUUCAGGGUUCGAAGUAUAAGAAUAAGAGCCAAAUCUAAAAAAAUUUAGGUCGCGCGAAAAUUUUUAGAGUUCGCGCGUUUUAAAACGUCGAAAGAAAAACCAAGGCGAAAGUUCUACACGUACCGACGUAAAUUUAAUAUUCCACGACGGAAACUUCAUUUUUCGGAUUAAGAACGUAAGGCCGUUCAUUUUGAAGCUUCAUUUUUCGGAUUAAUUUUAAAUUUAUUUUGAAUUUUUUAUAUAACGACGACUGAAAAACCACGUCGGUGUUAAGAAAUUAAAGACGUUGUAAAUUAUAUAAACCGACUUACAUAUUAAAAUGACGUCGUUUAAAGCGUAAACCAUGUCGUAUGUUUUUCUGUACGACGUAAAAUAUGUAUUCCACGACGCAACCACCGUCGUUAAAAAUUAAUACCCAAAACCCAUAAAACUAAAUUAUACAAUUUAAAAAAUUAAGUUUAUAAAAGGUUUUAUGGUUUUAAAGCCUAACAUAUACCCUAGACUACCCAAAAAUUAUACUUUAAAAAUAAACCCCAAUAAAUAACAACCCUAAUCUCUAAACCCUAGACUCUAAACCCUAAACCAUAAAACUAGAAGUGAUUUUAUGACUCAUCAAAACAAUUUUGUUUUGGAUGGUCAUUUUAAAUUUUUGUUAUUCAAAAUGAAUUUUUUCAAGGUUUAUGUGGAAGAAAAUAUAUCAAUGACUUCAUAGGAGUUGACUUUUCAAUUUUCUGAUUUAUUUUAAAUUUAUUUUGAAUAUUUUGAUAUAAAAAUAAUAAAAUAUUCUUACCACAACAACAAACCACGUCGGUGUUAAUAAAUUGUAGACGUUGUAAAUUGUAAUAGACUACUAAGUCGUUAAAAUGACGUCGUUAAAAUGAGAAACCAUGGCGGCUAUUUAACUAUACGACGUAAAAUAUAUAUAUCAACGACUUAACCGCUGUCGUUACAUAAACGUCGUCGAUGAUACCCUGAACCCUUAAGAAAUUGAAGAUGUUGUAAACCAUAAACGACUCAAUUGUUCAAAGAACGUCGUCUAACUAUAUUUUUACGUCGUAUUUGUUUAAAACACGAAACAACAAAAUACGACGGUUUUUGACUUUAUUAGGUCGUUGGAAAAGUAUUACACGUCGGUUAAGCAAUUUGUAUGUUUGUUUUUUUUUAAAUUUAAGAAAACCUCAACAAAUUUUUACAUUACAUAUUAUAGAGAAAAUUUGUACAUUAUACAUAAAUAUCAAGUGUUCAAUAAUUUGGAAAACAAACUCUGCCCAUUCAUUCCGGACUUCAUCAAUGGCUUCUUGGGGGUAUGAAGCUUCCUGGUUUCCCUUGGCAUACUGCAUAAACAAUGACUAUUAGGGUUUAUAAAUAAAAAGAAAUUCAAUCACAGACGACGAUAUUUUUCAUAACCGACGUAGUAUAUCCAUUCAACGACGUUAAUUUUACAUGACCGUCGUUGAUAAUACAAAAAACGACGUGAAAUGUAUGAAGGUAAUUUCUUCUUACCUUAUUCUCAAACCCCAAGGAAGGAUCCAUGAUGAUGUCCCUCAUGAAGCGCAUCACAUAAUACCCGCAUUCGACAUUGCUGGGUUGCUUUGGUGUGCCUGAGAGAGUUUUCCAAAUUACAUUUUUACGUCCUGCUCGGCCUAUGUGGGUAUUAUAUAUUUUUAAAGCACUGUUCACGAUGUUUUUCGCCUCUUCGUCGACCACACGAUGACCUGGCAGAGGAUCCAGAAAAUAGACGGUCUCCUUCUUUGCUCUUACAAUCAGCAAGAUCCAAUGACGGCUGCACAAAAUUAAUAUAAAAACGACGGUUAUUUACAAAAACGACGUAUUAUAGUAUUUCACACGACGAAAUAAAGUAGAUAACGACGACAUUAUAUAUUUAUCACGACGACAAAUAAAUACCGACGUGGUUAGUAGUUUCAAACGACUAAAUAAAAUAAAACACCGACGUGGUUAGUUUAUAAGCUGUCAUUUAUUGAAAAUCAUAAAAACAAAAUCCUAAGGAGACUAACCCUGGAUUGUAAGGCAUCAUGAAAAGCUGUUCACCGUCUGUCUUCUGAAGUCGAGCUGCUACCAGUCGUGAUCUUUCAGUUAUUGUGCCAGAGUUGGCACUAACUGUAGCAGGGUCAAUAAAGCCAACCAUGCUGCACAUAUUGGCUUGUUUCAAAACAUCGUGUAAGUACCUAAAUACAUAAAAUAAUAUAAACAAGUCAGCAAAAACAAACACGACGGUUAUGUAUAAAACAACGACGUAUUAUAAUAUUUCACACGACGUACUGAAAUAGAUAAGGACGUUAUAAUAUAUUUAUCAUGACGGUAGUUAGUUAAGACGACGUGGUUAGUUAGUUAAGACGACGCAAUAUAUAAACCAACGAGUUAUUAUCUUAGAAGUACAAACCUCAUAUAUACAGCCAAUACAGUAGCUCCAAUUUCUUCCAUGCCUGCAAAUUGUGUAAUAUCUUCAGGCAGGAGGAAGGUAUCGCGCUCACCACCAAACACCUCCUUAUCAAUUGUAAAUUGGAGUGUCUUAUCCUCAGGCAGGAGUGUCGUUUCCACAAAACGACAAAGGGUUUUUAAAGAAGAUGGCGCCUCCAUAUUUGAAUAAGCACCAACUUCAAUAACCUGUUUAAAGAAAUAAAAAAAAUGACGUGGUAAUUCAAUAAAGACGACGGUUUAAGGAAUAAAACGUCGUCUUAAAAGGAUUUAAACGACGGUGAAAAAAUUGUCGUGGUAAUUCAAUAAAGACGACGGUUUUAUUAAUAAAGCGUCGUCUGAAACCAUUUAAACGACGGUGCAAAAACCGUCGUUUAAAUAUUUUAUUACGUCUUAAAAAAAGUCCGCCGUCUAAGUUUUAAACAAACGACGGAUUAAAUAAAAAUAUCGACGUCUGAAAUUUUGAAAAACAAAUAAAAAAGGCAAAGUUAUGUGAACAUACCUUGUCGUCAUGCUUUUCUUCAUCUUCUUUCUCCUUUUCUUCUUCCUUCUCUUCAUCUCUUUUUUCUUCUUCCUUCUCUUCAUCUGGCUGAUGUUUUCCCCAUUUUGGGCAGUAUCAUCCUCCAAAUGUAGGGGAUCUCACAUCACCCUCCAGAGCAGCUAGCUUUGUCAGACAUUGGAUUUUUGGGGCUUUGGGCUAAUUCUUGGGUUAAGCGAUGGCUUGGAUCAAAUUGGGAAUUUAAUUGGGAAAGCUGACUCAGGAAAUGCUCCCUCUCAGCCUCUACCAAUUGUUUUGUCCUAGCCUCCAUCCUUAAGGCCUCUUCCCUUGCCUUAGCCUCCAUCUUUUUAGUCUCUUCUUGAAGGAGAACUCUUAAACUCUCCUUCAAACGGUCGUCAAAGCUCACCCUCUGUGGUUUGGGCAAAUUGAAAUAUUGCCUUGGGGAAACACCAGCACCAACUCCCCUCAGUCUGCCUGGAUGCUCGGGGCCCAAAGCCAUGGUCAGCACAUCAUUGCUGCCAUCUACUCUGACUUUGCCUUCCGAGACUUGUUUCUGCAAUUCAUCCUAAAAAAAGAUAAACAAAAAAACACACGACGGUUAUUUAUGUACAAACGACGUAUUAUAUAAUUUCACACGACGCAAUAACGUAUAAACCGACGUUAUUAUAACUUAUCACGACGGUAGUUAUACCGACGUGGUUAUUUAUUUAAAACGACGAAAUGAAUAAACAACCGACGUCUUAUGCUAUAAUUAAAGAUAACAGAGUAGUGAUUCCUAUUUAGACCAUUAACGACGUUUUUAAAAAAGUUUCGACGUGGUAAUAUCAUUCACACGACGCGAAAAUGAACCACCGACGUCUUAUGCUAUAAUUACAGAAAACAUAGUAGUGAUUCCUAUUUAGACCUUUAACGACGUUUUUAAAAACUUUUCGACGUGGUAAUAUCAUUCACACGACGAAAAAUAUAACAUACGACGUAAUAAGAAUAAUUCAAAGUUUAAUAAAAAUUUAAAACAGAGUGAUAGUAGGCUUACAAUUAAUUUUGCUUUCUCUGCCACCUUUGGAUCAGGGAUGUUACCAUGUUUGUCCUGUCUAGCUCUCUUCCAUAGGGUAGAUCGAUCAAUUUCUACCCCAGGCAUGGUUUCCUCCAAUUGAUCCUCCAAUCCAGCAUAUCCUUUUCGAGACAAUCGAUGAUUGUACUCGAGUUUCUCCCUAAUCUGUGCAUGUUGAGAAUGCACAGACUCAAAAUCUUUGGAUAGCCUUGAAGCUACAAAGGCAUCCCAUUGUGCUUUCUCUAUGAAUUUAUAUGUUUCAGGGGGUUGGCUUAAUUUCUCCCUGUCAUUGGUGUAUGGAAGGAUAUAAUGCCUCGUUAGUGUAGACUUGAAAUCCUUCCAUUUCUUGGAAGCAGAAGCUAAAACAGAGGUCUUGCCCCCUUGGCCUACGACAAAAGCCAUGUCAACUGCUUCCCAAAUCUGCUCCUUUAUAUCCUUGGGGAUUUGGGACCAUUUCUUGUCCACAAGUGGGAUCCUGGAGCGUGCCAACACACCAAUAUACGACUGCAUCUCAAUAUGUGCUUGGCCAACACCUUUCCCCCUUUUAUUGUACUCAACAAUUGGCCUCAGUUUCUGAAGCUUUCUCUUCACAACACGAGGCAUUGUGCUCAUACCUCGACCAGUCUUUGAAUCAUCAGAGAUUGUUGUCUGGCUGGUUUGUUCUGUCUCAGCAGAUGAUGAAGCAAACUUCAUAUUCUUCGAAGACUUCAUCUCCUUCGAAGACUUGUCUUGAGGAGCUACCAUUCCAAGCUUCUUGGAGCCAGAAUCCUUAGUUUGUUGUUGAGAAACCAUUUUAACAGACAAAACUGCAAGUGAAAAUAUUUCAGGAAAACAUUAAGAACACAAACGACGGUAUUAAAAAAAUACGACGUAUGAUAUGAUUUUAGACGACGCAAUGAAAUAAUCUCAGACGUAAUAAAUGUUUAAAACCAUUAUUUAUAUAACGUCGUGGUAUAUAUGUUCACACGACGUCAAUAGUAAUACACCGUCGUGGUAAACUAUUAUUUAUAUAACGUCGUGGUAUUUAUGUUCAUACGACGUCAAUAGUAAUACACCGUCGUGGUAUUAACAUUCACACGACGUAAAACAAUAAGAUAUUUUGUCGUCUAUAUUAGAUACCAACCCUAGUUUCUUUUUCUUUAUAUUUUAUCAAAUAAGGGAAAAACAAAAACCAUUGUUCAGAGAAAUCAAACCUGCAAUUAAACAAGCAUAUAAAAAAAGACUAUUAUUUUAAAAACAACUUUGUCAAUUUUCAGACGACGCUAGAACAACUGACGAACCGUCGUGGUCUACGGUCGUCUUAUUUAGUUGAUGUAGUUGUCUUCAAAGUUGGAAACUUUCCCUCUUUGUCUGUAUAUUUUAUCAAACUUGGAAAGAAGUAAAAUGAUUUUGGCCAGAAAAAAGGUAAAAAGAUUUUUCAAACAAAAAACGUAUGAGCAUGCAAAACAGUAACCAAAAUAGUGAAAAUGAAAGCUUACCUUUUGCGUGCAAUGAAAGCAAGAGGAAGAUGAUCGAUGUUUAAGUUCAGAGACGACGAAGAAGACGAGAGGAAGACGAUGAGAAACUCUGACAAUGCUCUGACAAGGAAAAAAGACGAAAAGGUUUCUCUGGGAGAUUGAAAUUUUUAAUCGGGUUUGGAAACAGUGCAUGUGUAAGUCGAAAAGUUGCUUACAUAUAAAACCAUUUCAAAAAAAUAAUACGGCGGUUACAUUUAACUACGUCGUUUUUAACUAACACGACGCAAUAUUUUUCGUUCGACGUGGAAUCAUUUCAUUUAACGUCGUUAGGUUUAAUAUAACCGACGUGGAUUUUAAUUUUUAAAUUAUGAAUAGAAUUUUUUUUCCCGUGACCUUUCAGUUUAUUUUUCAAUUACAGUGCGUUAUAAAUAGAGUUUUUUUUCCGGAGGAAAUUUAAAACGAAGGAAAUUAAUAUUCUGCAAUAUGUAAAGUUUCUUUUUUGGAUGACAGAUUUAAAUAAAAUAAGAAUAUAAAAACAACAAAUGUGUAAGUCAAGUAGACGAAAAGUUGCUUACAUAUAAAACCAUUUCAAAAAAAUAAUACGGCGGUUACAUAUAACUACGACGUAUAAAUUACAAAAUACGACGGUACAUUUAACUUCGGACGUGGUAAAUAAAUACGACAGUAGUUUGUAGGUACCGUCGUAGUAAACUCAAAAAUUAAAGUACAUAAGUAAUAACUCGCGUCAUGGUAGAUUAUUUAACACGUCGUUUUUAUUAAUUUACCGACGUGGAUUUUUGUAAUAUACGUCGAUCAUACCGACGUUGAUUUUACAAUUUAAACGGCGGUUGUUUUGUAAGGACCGCUGUUGGUUUUAAAAAUUUAUUCUAUAAAUUUGUCGCUUUCAUUCAUUUUCGGUUUACAUUUAAGGUUCCAAGUUCUUCCUCUCUUACUCGCAUCAAAUAUAUGUCCACAAGAAGAAGCUUGUCAACUAGCCUUCUCACUUCCUUGAUCAAGCCUGAUAGGACACUUAGUGCUUCUGAAUACUCCUUGCUUUCCAUCAAAAGAGAUGCAAGCCUGGCCUCCACUCGCUGUCGAAGGAAAGUUCGCUUCUCAGGGAAAUCUGAAGAUCAGAUGUGCCUGAUCCUCUGCUUGAUUUUCUUGCCUAAGAAGAUCCGUCGGAUUUGUGAUAGCCUCUUCCUUUAUCCGUAGAGCUUCAGAAGAAGAAGAUGGGUUUCAAGAAUGCGAUAAAGAAUAGAAAUGGCUUCAGAUGGCCUCUAAAGCAUGGGCAAUUGAAUCAGUAGUUUCUGGGAGAUAUGAUGAAGACAUUGUCAAUGCUUUGAACUACACAAGUCCUGCAGAAAGAUAUGUUAAAGAAACUGAAACAACGGCGGUUUUCUGUUCUACCGUCGUCUUUUCUCGUCGUCUAUAUUAAGUUAAGAUGGCGGUAGAUUUAUAAUUACCGACGUAGAUUAUUUUGUUAAACGUCGUUAAGUGUACUACAACCGACGUGGAUUUUAAUUUUAAAUUAUAAAUAGAGUUUUUUUUCCCGUAUUCUUUCAGUUUUAGUUUUCAAUUCCAAAGCGUGAUAAAUAGAUUUUUCUUUCCCGAGGAAAUUUAAAAUGAGGGAAAUUAAUGUUCUAGAAUUUGUAAACUAACACGACGCAAUAUUUGCAAAUCUGUGUCAUCUGUUAAGAUUAUGAUGUGGAACAGAGUUCCAUCUGGUAAGAUUUCGUAACCCUUGGGAUCUCAGACAAAUCUGAUUAUGUCGGCGGUGUUCUAUAUAAACCGUCGUGGUUAUUUCAAUUCUUGUCAUUAAGUAGAUCUACCGACGUAGGAUAAGAAAAUCAAAGAAAAAAAUUGUUAACAAAAAUUCUUAUUAAGACGACCGUUAAAAUUAAAGGUACGACGUAUAAAAUGAAUAAAUACGACGAUAAAUUUUAUUGUACGAUUUAAAGAUAACGUCGUAGAACUAUACGAGAAUGACGUCGUUAUAUUUAUAUUUUCCGUCGUUGUAAAUUAAUUUAAUACGGCGAUAUUUUGUAUUUUAAAGCCGUGGAUUUGUUUGUAAUUAUACGGCGUCUUAUACGAAAACCUCGUCGUGUUAUUUUAUGAGUAAAAACGGCAGUUUUUAUUGAAAUCGUCGUCUUUACUUUCUACGUCGGUCGAUUCAUAACUUCUGCCGUUCUUUGUUGGCAUUGAUUUUACACUGCGGAAAUCUGUUUCAAAUAGACGUCGGUUGUUUAAUUAUGUACGUCGUUGUUUUUGAACAGCCAUUUGAAACUCCAUUUUUUUAGUUGUCUAAGGUUGUAUUACACGACGGUGUUUUUAGAACCGUCGUCUUUUUAUAAACCACGACGGUUUUCACUUAGACCGUCGUUGUUUUCUGGUCGUCUUUUUCACUUUUUGUAGUAGUGAAAUACAAAAUCUAAAACUAAAACCAAAAGUAAAUGCAAUGCAAUAGAAAAUAACACUAUUUAAAUCUAAAAUUUAACCUUUCGAGGCUUGGAAGAACUCUUAAAUUCCUCAAUUCUCGAUGCAUUAUCGAUAUUAUUAGCAAACUCUAUCUCAAUGUGGAGGAUCAUACAGUCAGUAAGAAAUUCAUCAGCUAAGUUGCUUCGAAGUCAAUUCUUAAUAAUUCUCAUACAUGAGAAAGCUCGUUCUGUUGUUGCUGUAGAAAUAUGAAGAGUCAACACCAACCGAAUCAAUCUGUCAAGGAAAAUAUAGUUUUCUGCCAAAGUUGUUUCCACCAAUUGUUGACAUAACUGAGGAAGAGUAGUGGUUUCCUUAAAGCAAGGAAAGAGAUGCAUAUUAUUUUGACAAUGUACUAGAUGAUGACCCAUCAUUCUUUUUCUUAAAAAAAGACAACAAAUUCUUUGUUCUCUUGGGAUUCCGAUUGUGAUCCGACAUAAUAAAAGAUAGCCUAUGAAUUAGAAAAAAACUUAAUCAAACAUACCAACAAAAAAUCAAACAAAUUCUCAUAAUAGCAUCUCAACAAAACCAAAUCAAAAAUUAUAAUUCAUCCAUAAUUAAACACUAGAAUACUCAAUUUUAACAAAAUCUCAAAUCAAAGCUUUAGAAUAAAUCCCUAAUCAAAGCCCUAAUUAAUUUCAAAAAAAUCUUAAAAUUAUAAUUCAUCCCUAAUUAAACCCUAGAAUACUCAAUUUUAAAUUAAAACUAUAAUUAAAGAUAUAUAGCAAAGGAGAAGGAGAGAAUGAGAAUGAUACCUUGUUGGUGACAAAAGGAGAGGAGAAGAUGUUGUUGCCAAGUUGCCCACCCAAGAUAAUAGAAGAUGUAGCCAAUAGAAGAAGAAUUUGACCCAAAAAAAGAAGAAGAGAGAAACUUGCUGCUGCUGUCUGGUAGCAAAGAGAGAGAAAGAGAGAGAGAGAGAGAGAGAGAGAGAGAGAGAGAGAGAGAGAGAGAAACAAGUAUUCUAAUGGCCAAAGAGAAAGAUAGAAAAGAUGGGACCACAUGGAUGGGCAACAUAUGGGUAGGGUUUGUUUUUAAUUCUUUUUAUUUUUGGACUAGGCUUAUAACACAUAUAGGUCUCUUUUUUUUUUUUUGAAAAUUUUUGGGCUGGGUGCCUGGGCUGGUCGUGUCCUAUAAGAAUCUGUAUAAUUUAAGGCCAGUUUCGAUAAUUAACCCUACUUAAUCAACAACAACCCAAGUUUUAGAAUUGUUCUUCUUCGAGUUGAAAUUGUUAUGUUGUUGACUUCAAAAAAUAAAAUAAAAUAAAAAGACCUAAGUUAAGGAAACUUAGGAUGAUAGUCCAUCUCCUUUCAUGAAUGUAUAAUGUAUCAUAGGCCAACGGCAAUAUUAUGUUUAGCUAAUCAAAUUUGUUUUGUCUUGUUCGGAUUUUACUGUUUGGAUUGGCAUUUACUCCAGCAAAAUGUAAAUACGAAAAAACAUAACUUUAUUUGUAUUAAUGCAGAUAAGAUUAAAUUGAGGAUUUCACUAGUAAACUCAUUUUAGCGUGACAUAAUAUACAAAAGCCCUUAUAGAGCCUAUUUAGUCACUUGUUAUUUUCUAAUUGGUUCUUUUAAAAUUUUACUAUCCAAUUAGAUACCCAAAAAAAAAAAAUAGAAAAUGACAUACUAAAAUGAGUUUUUGAAUAAAUACUUGACCAAAGAGUCGUCACCUUAAAUUAGCUAACAAAAAUAUUACUUGAAUACAUUAAUUAAAACCAAAGUUUAUCAGUCCUCUCAAUAGCAAUAUAGAAUCUCAUUAGGAUUUUAAUUAGAUUAACAAAUACGGAUAAGAUUAAGUUGAUAGACUCUCAUUAUCUAACUAGUACUAGUAAUCCUGCUAGACACAGGAGGUUUUGCACUAUAAAUACCUUAUCAAACCCACCUGAUUUUGUACGCUUAAUUCCAUCGAUCCUUCCAAGUUGUUUUCUUUUCGUUUUCUCUGGUUCAGUUUUUAUUGCUUCAAGUAGUUUUCUUAGCUUUCUCAGAUUUAUUUUUGAGUGAAAGAGAUAGAGCAAGAGUUAGAAGAAGGUAACAAUGGCUGGGGGCGGUAUAGCUCCAUCGAGUGGUAGAAAACAAUACCCCGGUAAACUCACAGCUAGGGUUCUUAUAACAUGUAUUGUUGCGGCUACCGGUGGUUUGAUUUUUGGGUACGACCUUGGAGUUUCAGGUAUGUAACUUCUUUUUUUCACAACCUAGUUUUAUUUUAUGUAUGCAUGCAUCCUUUAAUUUCUAGAAUUACCAUGCAGUGUUUAUAAGAAUAUACAUAACAUCGUAUUUGAUUUGGUGAUUAUGCAGGCGGUGUGACAUCCAUGGACUCUUUCUUGAAACAGUUCUUUCCAGCAGUUUACCAGAAAGAAUCUUCGAUCAAGCCUUCCGACGAUCAGUACUGCAAAUUCGAUAGCCAGACACUUACACUUUUCACAUCUUCGCUAUAUUUGGCUGCUCUAGUUGCAUGCAUUUUUGCAUCAACUAUAACCAGAGUGUGUGGUCGGAGGCUCACAAUGAUCUUGGGUGGAGUUCUUUUCUUGGCUGGUGCCUUGGUCAAUGCCUUUGCUAAUGCUGUUUGGAUGCUUUAUGUUGGUCGUCUUCUUCUUGGUUUUGGUAUUGGAUGUGCCAAUCAGGUACCCAUGAUUAUGAUUUUCUUUUUUGCUAUAUAGAUUAUACUUUAUGAAUUUUAGGUUAUUUGCAAUCCAGUUUGUUAUUUCGCGUACUUUUUACAAACCCUAAUCCAUUUGUUUUAAUUCUUUUUGAGCAGUCUGUGCCUAUCUAUGUCUCUGAAACAGCCCCAUCUAAAUACCGUGGUGCUCUCAACAUGAUGUUCCAAUUGUCGAUCACAAUUGGAAUCCUUGCUGCUGGUGUGCUUAACUAUUUCUUUGCCGAGAUCAAAGGCGGUGGGGGAUGGCGUUUGAGUUUGGGAGGUGCUGCAGUCCCUGCCAUUAUAAUCAUAGUUGGAGCAUUGUUUUUACCCGAUACACCAAACUCCUUGGUCGAGCGUGGCAGGCAUGAGGAAGCCAAAGCUCAGCUUCUUAAGCUCAGAGGAGUUCCUAAUGUUGAUGAGGAGUUUAAUGACCUAGUUGCGGCCAGUGAAGCAUCCAAGUUGGUAAAACACCCAUGGGUUAGCUUGUUGAGCAGGAAAUAUAGACCCCAGCUUGUGUU